This 3083-nucleotide long non-coding RNA is filed under the name Trifolium pratense (red clover). Its description in RNAcentral is "long non-coding RNA (TPRA_LNC003992)". The record is from RNAcentral. Lineage: Eukaryota; Viridiplantae; Streptophyta; Magnoliopsida; Fabales; Fabaceae.
AUUACCUUACGACCCACAAAGGGAGAUGGAAAAACAAGAUCUUCAUAAACACAAUUUUCAGCUAUAAGAUACUGUACAGAAUCCACAUCAUGUGAAUUGAUUCCAUCAUAGAAAUUUCUGACAACAUUUGAAGCUAAAUCUACAACGUUGUUAUCAUCAAAGUGUGUGGUGGUAGUUGUAACUGAGUUAUUUUCACCACUCUUAUUAACUGCCAUGUUCCAUUUUCUAACUCUUUUUGUUCCAACUCCAACAACCUUAGUAACUGAAUUUGAAGCAUAGUUUCUUCUAGGUGACAAAGAAUCUAAAGGUGAAGCUAAGUUCAAAAGUAGAGCUUGAGUGCUGUUGGAACUACACAACACCAUAAACAUUGUGUGCUCCAAUCCCACUUCAACAACUACCACAAAAACACUUCAAACUUCACACUUUAUCUUCAUGUUUUACCUUCCAAAAUUUUCAAUCUCUUGCUAUUAACUAGUACUACUAUUUAUGUUCCUAAACAUAAACUUUUGACAAGAUAAUUAUUUUUUUUUUUGAAAAAAGACAAAUUAAUUAUCUUUUAAACAUAAGUUUUUUUUUUUACAAACAUAAGUAUUGUUUUAAAAAACAUAAGUAUUGUUUUAAAUAAUUAUUAGGUACUAUAUAUUGCUUUUUUGAUUCAUUAAAUAACUAGUUUAUCUAACUUAUAUUAUACGAUACAUAUAUUAGUUACACAAUAUAUCUAAAAAAUAAGUUUUCUCUUAUUAAGGAAAAGAGGAAGUAUUUUUAUACUACCGAGUACAAUUAAAUUUUCUUGUUAGAAAAAAUAUUAAAAUAUCUCUUAAGUACAACUUAGUACUAUAAAAAGUCAUAGACACAUUUGAUAUUUUGAUAUGUUGAAGUGUGUGGUCAAACUUACCAAUAUAAUGACUUGAAGUUGAAGUGGUUAAUGAGAUAUUUCUAUAAUAAAUUGUUAGGAAGAAUUCAAUUUUUUUUUUAUGAGAAUGAUUCUUGGUUAAAUUUUAUUUAUUUCGUAGCCAAACUUACCAACAAUUGAAUUUGUUUUUUUAUUUUUAGUCAAGUAAUUUAAGGGCAAGACUCACACAUUUAAAUGUGGAGAAACGUAGAAUUCGGGGUUCGAACCCGGUCACACUAAUAAUGUCCUUGAUAACUAUCAUUUGAACUACAUUUAUGAGACCGUUAAACAAUUGAAUUUCAACUCAAUAUUUGAAGCUUUUUAAGUUAAGGGUAAAAUAUGUUUCGCUCUCUAUUUUUAUAUUGAGUUUUGGUUUUUAUCUCUAUAUUUUAAAAUCAUUCUUUUUAGUCCCCAAUUAAUUUUCAGUUUUUGUUUUAGUACCAAAUAUUUUUUUUUAAAAGCCAAAAUGAGAUAAAUAUAUAAAAAUCUUUUUAGCACAAGAUGUGCUAAAAGAGACUAAAGAAUGUUACAUGAGUCACAAUACGAAAACAAAAAAAAUAUACAAGGCCCCAACAAAAAAAUCAUACAAUUAAUAUUCAGUUUUGAUUUUAGUACCAAAUGUUAGGUCAACUACUGUUGACUAACGGAAGUCCACGUGACACUGACACGUUGGAUUUCAUUGACAUGUAACAUCCUAUGUGGACUGCCACGUCAUAUUUUUAAAUUUUUUAAAACCCCUUUUUUUGGGUCAAUAAUAAAAAAAACUUUAUUUCAUUUAAAACUAGAGGCCAAACAAGACACGUUUCACGCUUGUCUGUGUCUAUUAUGCAAACUUACGUAAAUAAACAAAUGUCUUAUGUUUCCCCUUGGUUCUGCUUUCGAGGCAUCUACGUCUCCAUCACUUGGCUCAAGCGUUUUUGGCAACACCCAGUCAUCCCCAUUAUAUAACUCCACUGGGUCACAUGGCUCUAUCUCUAUUACAUAAGGUUCUGCCCUUGGAUUUCGACCCGUUCCAACUGCAGAUGAUCCUUACGAUAAUGUGCAUAUUGAUUUCCUUGGGGAUGUUCAGAACAAUGAUUCGCUUGGGAAUGUUCAGAACAAUGAUUUGCUUAUACAACAAGGUAUCAGUGGAAUAUUUAAUUUUAGAUAUUUAAAUUGUUGAUUGAAGUUUUAAUUGUUGAUGUUUGCUUGAAUUUUACUUGCUUCAACAAUGAUUCCCUUUAAUUGUUGAUUGAAGUUUUAAUUGUUGAUGUUUGUUUGAAUUUUAACUGUUAUUUGUCUCUUGCCGUUGAUCACCUCCAAACGAUAAAAACUGCAUCCUUUGCUAAAGGGAAAAGCCUUUCCUUUCCAUUCUGCAGUCAUUACCAGAAAAACAAAUGUCAUUAAAAAGGGGAAUUGUGGGUUCAAAUUCGCUCCCAGAAAAGCAAAUGUCAUUACAAUCUUUUACCAUCGGAGUUGUACUUACAAAUGUUCUCGUUAGAUAUUUAUGUAAACUCUAUGAAUAAUAUAGAAUUCAAUUGUAUAGAUAUAAAGAACAGUUCAAUUUGAAAUGCACCUAAAUGCCAAAUCACCCCAACUGAUGCUGAAUCCUCCGUAGACAAAUCACCAAUAACAAACUGCAGAUCUAUGCUUGUAGAAUCAGUGAACUUUUUGAAGAACUCUAUAAUUUCCUGUAAUAUAUAAGUAAGAGAGGUAAAUUAUGAUAAACUUCUUCUAACUACUAAAAAUUAAUUAUUUAAUUAAAAAUAAUCUUAUUCCAUAAAUUACCUUACCACCCACAAAGGGAGAUAUAAACACAAUUUUCAGCUAUAAGAUACUGUACUGAAUCCACAUCAUGUGAAUUGAUUCCAUCAUAGAAAUUUCUCACAACAUUUGAAGCUGAAUCUACAACGUUGUUAUCAUCAAAGUGUGUGGUGGUAGUUGUAACUGAAUUAUUUUGACCACUCUUAUUAACUACCAUGUUCCAUUUUCUAAGUCUUUUUGUUCCAACUCCAACAACCUUAGUAACUGAAUUUGAAGCAUAGUUUCUUCUAGGUGACAAAGAAUCUAAAGGUAAAGCUAAGCUCAAAAUUAGAGCUUGUGUGCUUUUGGAACUACACAACACCAUAAACAUUGUGUGCUCCACUUCAACAACUACCACGGAGACACUUCAAACUUUAUCUUCAUAUUUUACUUUGUUGAAACUUGUCUU